UCUUUGGUGGUCCAGGAGUUAAAACUCUGUGCUCUCAAUGCAGGGGGUCCAGGUUUGAUCCCUGGUCAGGGAA
Non-coding RNA from Bos taurus (domestic cattle), 73 nucleotides. The record is from Rfam. NCBI's taxonomy places the organism in Eukaryota, Metazoa, Chordata, Mammalia, Artiodactyla, Bovidae.